ACAAUGGAGAGUUUGAUCCUGGCUCAGGAUGAACGCUAGCGGCAGGCUUAAUACAUGCAAGUCGUGGGGCAGCAGAAGUAGCAAUACUUGCUGGCGACCGGCAAACGGGUGCGGAACACGUACACAACCUUCCUUCAAGCGGGGAAUAGCCCAGAGAAAUUUGGAUUAAUACCCCAUAAUAUAUAUUAUAGGCAUCUAUAAGAUAUUAAAGCUUCGGCACUUGAUGAUGGGUGUGCGUCUGAUUAGGUAGUUGGCGGGGUAACGGCCCACCAAGCCUUCGAUCAGUAGCUGAUGUGAGAGCAUGAUCAGCCACACGGGCACUGAGACACGGGCCCGACUCCUACGGGAGGCAGCAGUAAGGAAUAUUGGUCAAUGGACGAAAGUCUGAACCAGCCAUGCCGCGUGAAGGAUUAAGGUCCUCUGGAUUGUAAACUUCUUUUAUAUGGGACGAAAAAAGGGCAUUCUUGCUCACUUGACGGUACUAUAUGAAUAAGCACCGGCUAACUCCGUGCCAGCAGCCGCGGUAAUACGGAGGGUGCAAGCGUU
RNAcentral lists this ribosomal RNA (546 nucleotides) under Chitinophagaceae bacterium. RNAcentral's name for it is "bacterial SSU rRNA". It matches the Rfam family "Bacterial small subunit ribosomal RNA", at positions 1 to 542 of the family's 1533-position model. Lineage: Bacteria; Pseudomonadati; Bacteroidota; Chitinophagia; Chitinophagales; Chitinophagaceae. The record is from RNAcentral.